GCUUACGGCCAUACCACCCUGAGAACGCCCGAUCUCGGAAGCUAAGCAGGGUCGGGCCUGGUUAGUACUUGGAUGGGAGACCGCCUGGGAAUACCAGGUGCUGUUAGCU
RNAcentral lists this ribosomal RNA (109 nucleotides) under Takifugu rubripes (torafugu). Lineage: Eukaryota; Metazoa; Chordata; Actinopteri; Tetraodontiformes; Tetraodontidae. The record is from RNAcentral.